UCGGUGAUGCAGCUAACGCAUUAAACAUUCCGCCUGGGGAGUACGGUCGCAAGAUUAAAACUCAAAGGAAUAGACGGGGACCUGCACAAGUGGUGGAGCAUGUGGUUUAAUUCGAAGAUACGCGAAGAACCUUACCUAGCCUUGACAUAUAUUAGAAUCUUUCAGAGAUGAGAGAGUGCCUUCGGGAGCUUUUAUACAGGUGCUGCACGGCUGUCGUCAGCUCGUGUCGUGAGAUGUUGGGUUAAGUCCCGCAACGAGCGCAACCCUCGUGUUUAGUUGCUAACAGUUCGGCUGAGCACUCUAGACAGACUGCCUCCGCAAGGAGGAGGAAGGUGAGGACGACGUCAAGUCAUCAUGGUCCUUACGGCCAGGGCGACACACGUGCUACAAUGGGUAGGACAAUGAGAGGCGAUACCGCGAGGUGGAGCAAAUCUAUAAACCUACUCUCAGUUCGGAUAGCAGUCUGCAACUCGACUGCUUGAAGCUGGAAUCACUAGUAAUCGUAGAUCAGCCAUGCUACGGUGAAUACGUUCCCGGGUCUUGUACUCACCGCCCGUCACACCAUGGGAGUUGAGUUCACCCGAAGCGGGGAAGCUAAACUGGCUACCCUCCACGGUGGAAUUAGCGACUGGGGUGAAGUCGUAACAAGGUA
Molecule: ribosomal RNA, 652 nt
Filed under: uncultured bacterium
Lineage: Bacteria
Description: bacterial SSU rRNA
Rfam family: Bacterial small subunit ribosomal RNA
Source: RNAcentral